Long non-coding RNA from Cydia amplana, 212 nucleotides. RefSeq lists it as uncharacterized. The transcript is spliced from 3 exons. Lineage: Eukaryota; Metazoa; Arthropoda; Insecta; Lepidoptera; Tortricidae. The record is from RefSeq and is a predicted model, not a curated record.
GUGUACACCGCUGCGCCCCCCGACCCGUGGGGAUGGCCGGUUCCUGGAACACCGGCCCCUUCCAGGCGAUUCUAUAACAUAAUGCCUGAGCCAGUGCCACCCAUUUAUCCGAAUAUGCUCUCAUAUCCACGCCGAUAUUUUCGACGUAACUUCCCGGAAUACUCAUACUAUUAUGGACCCUAUAGAAGAAGUGAUAAUUAUGAUGAUAACCG